GAUGAACGCUGGCGGCGUGCCUAAUACAUGCGAGUCGAGCGAACGGACGAGAAGCUUGCUUUUCUGAUGUUAGCGGCGGACGGGUGAGUAACACGUGGAUAACCUACCUAUAAGACUGGGAUAACUUCGGGAAACCGGAGCUAAUACCGGUUAAUAUUUUGAACCGCAUGGUUAAAAAGUGAAAGACGGUCUUGCUGUCACUUAUAGAUGGAUCCGCGCUGCAUUAGCUAGUUGGUAAGGUAACGGCUUACCAAGGCAACGAUGCAUAGCCGACCUGAGAGGGUGAUCGGCCACACUGGAACUGAGACACGGUCCAGACUCCUACGGGAGGCAGCAGUGGGGAAUCUUCCGCAAUGGGCGAAAGCCUGACGGAGCAACGCCGCGUGAGUGAUGAAGGUCUUCGGAUCGUAAAACUCUGUUAUUAGGGAAGAACAUAUGUGUAAGGAACUGUGCACAUCUUGACGGUACCUAAUCAGAAAGCCACGGCUAACUACGUG
Molecule: ribosomal RNA, 497 nt
Filed under: uncultured bacterium
Lineage: Bacteria
Description: partial 16S ribosomal RNA
Rfam family: Bacterial small subunit ribosomal RNA
Source: RNAcentral